Molecule: long non-coding RNA, 610 nt
Organism: Carassius carassius (crucian carp)
Lineage: Eukaryota; Metazoa; Chordata; Actinopteri; Cypriniformes; Cyprinidae
Exons: 2
Source: RefSeq, a predicted model, not a curated record
UUUGCCAUUAAAGUGAGAAGCAGUGCUUGUGGAAGGAAAGUAAUAAUUUAGAAACCCAAGAAAAACCUACCGGAAGUAGCCUCAGACGCGUACUCGGCUGUCAUUGGUUGAACAGAGCAGGCUGGGACGAGUUUAUGUGGCUGCGCUAAUUUGGAUUCAAAUCGCGUUUCCUGCCUAUCAAUACUAAAAUAUCCCAGCUGUAUAACAUUUUAACGGUGGCGUACAGAUGGAGGACCGUGUCGGUUCACUGCAGCACACUUCUCCUGUUACGAGGUCCAUGUGUGGGCACGGGUUUAACGUUACUCCGGUAACGUUACGAGGCCUACAGCAAGGCCUUGUCAUCGCAGUUGUUGUCUAAAGUCUCCGUUCUGUGGAAUUUAAUGUAAACCUACCUGGAAUUUAUGAAAGAAUGCCUCCGGCCAUAAUACAAGGUACACAGGACUGAUUAAUCCCAGUUUUCCUAUUAGCGGCACUGCUAUUGAGCCAGCAAACCAGUAACGAGUGAUGAAAGGGAUGUUUUUAAACCAGUCCCCGAUAUCUGACAUCUUGCCAUAUGAUUAGAAAGCCCAAAGAUUCUCUGUAGGUUAUCCGCCGAUGCGGGUUAGGAAAA